RNAcentral lists this long non-coding RNA (210 nucleotides) under Panax ginseng (ginseng). RNAcentral's name for it is "long non-coding RNA (PGIN_LNC012238)". Lineage: Eukaryota; Viridiplantae; Streptophyta; Magnoliopsida; Apiales; Araliaceae. The record is from RNAcentral.
UGAUCUGCUGCAGACAAAGAGGCAAGGCCAACAGGGAUGAAGACAACGCCAACAAGGAUAAAUGAGGCAAUGACCUGAAGUCAUGAGAGAGAGUAGUAGUCCACUAGCAGGCAUUAAAUGAAACUUGUAGGCAAAAUAGCUUUAAUUUGAAAGGAGAUUGAUCCAGAUAUACAAUCAACCAUACCCAUCUUGGGGUCAGAAUUGGCUUAU